GGCAUCGUGGCGGAGUGGUGACGCACCGGAUUGCAAAUCCGUGAACCCCGGUUCGAUUCCGGGCGAUGCCUCCA
Molecule: transfer RNA, 74 nt
Filed under: Rhizobiaceae bacterium
Lineage: Bacteria; Pseudomonadati; Pseudomonadota; Alphaproteobacteria; Hyphomicrobiales; Rhizobiaceae
Description: tRNA-Cys
Rfam family: tRNA
About the family: Transfer RNA (tRNA) molecules are approximately 80 nucleotides in length.
Source: RNAcentral